UUCGGUUUCUUCGAGUUUGAUGAACUACUACCGAUACAACCGCCGGUAGUAACCGCUAUCUGCGGUGAACUGUAGACUCUUCUAUCCGAUACGCUGUGACUGAGGCGAGGUUUGAUGUACGGCCGUUGAGUAACUGCAACUGGAUUGUUGACGGAUUUUCGGUGGCUGAUAUACGGAGAAACCGAACGAUUGACCGUCGGAUUCUUUGAAUUCGAAUUACAACGGUUCAGAUCUAUCGGCUGAGGUUGAGAUUGUUCUUGAGUAAGGAUUAUUGUGAAUAGGCGUUCACGGAGGCACGUAGCGCAUACGCCGGUGAUGCUGCUGAGAUCGAUGGUGGUGAUGCUGCUUGUGCCGCCGGCAACGGUGGUGGUGGGUGGGGGUGCCGGUGAGGGGUUGAGAAUGCGGUUCUAGCGCGUUUUGGUAUGAAUG
This 429-nucleotide long non-coding RNA is filed under the name Helianthus annuus (common sunflower). RNAcentral describes it as "sRNA HanXRQr2_Chr17g0818971". The record is from RNAcentral. Lineage: Eukaryota; Viridiplantae; Streptophyta; Magnoliopsida; Asterales; Asteraceae.